UACGUAGGGGGCAAGCGUUGUCCGGAAUCAUUGGGCGUAAAGAGCGUGUAGGCGGCUCGAUAAGUCUGCUGUGAAAGUCCAGGGCUCAACCCUGGAAGGCCGGUGGAAACUGUCGGGCUAGAGUCCGGAAGAGGCGAGUGGAAUUCCCGGUGUAGCGGUGAAAUGCGCAGAUAUCGGGAGGAACACCAAUGGCGAAGGCAGCUCGCUGGGACGGUACUGACGCUGUGGUGCGAAAGCGUGGGGAGCAAACAGG
This 253-nucleotide ribosomal RNA is filed under the name uncultured bacterium. RNAcentral describes it as "partial 16S ribosomal RNA". It matches the Rfam family "Bacterial small subunit ribosomal RNA", at positions 524 to 776 of the family's 1533-position model. The record is from RNAcentral.